UACGAAGGGGGCGAGCGUUGUUCGGAUUUACUGGGCGUAAAGGGCGCGUAGGCGGCGGGUCAAGUCGAGUGUGAAAGCCCCGGGCUCAACCUGGGAAUUGCGCUCGAGACUGGUCUGCUUGAGUUCGGGAGAGGAGAGUGGAAUUCCCAGUGUAGAGGUGAAAUUCGUAGAUAUCGGGAGGAACACCAGUGGCGAAGGCGGCGAUCUGGGUUGAUACUGACGCUGAGGUGCGAAAGCGUGGGGAGCAAACAGG
This 253-nucleotide ribosomal RNA is filed under the name uncultured bacterium. RNAcentral describes it as "partial 16S ribosomal RNA". It matches the Rfam family "Bacterial small subunit ribosomal RNA", at positions 524 to 776 of the family's 1533-position model. The record is from RNAcentral.